UGGGUUUAAGACGCCAGUUUUGGCGGAGCCAUCCUUGGGAUACCACCCUUGUAGUACUGGGACUCUAACCAUAGGCCAUGAAUCUGGUCUUGGGACACUGUCAGGCGGCCAGCUUGAAGGGGGCGGUAGACUCCCAAAAGGUAACGGAGGCGCUCAAAGGUUCUCUCAGUACGGUAGGAAAGUGUACGUAGAGGUUAAAGGCAAAAGAGGGCUUGAUUGUAAGACCAGCAGGGCGAGGAAGGAUGAAAAUCGGACUUAGUGAUCCGGUGGGUCUGCGUGGAAGGGCCCUCGCUCAACUGAUAAAAGCUUCCCUGGGGAUCAAAGGCUUAUCUCACCCAAGAGUCCACAUCGACGGGGAGGUUUGGCACCUCGAUGUCGGCUAAUCACAUCCUGGGGCUGUAGUAGGUCCCAAGGGUUGGGCUGUUCGCCCAUUAAAGUGG
This 440-nucleotide ribosomal RNA is filed under the name Clostridioides difficile. RNAcentral's name for it is "bacterial LSU rRNA". It matches the Rfam family "Bacterial large subunit ribosomal RNA", at positions 2158 to 2596 of the family's 2925-position model. The record is from RNAcentral. Lineage: Bacteria; Bacillati; Bacillota; Clostridia; Peptostreptococcales; Peptostreptococcaceae.